UUCUUCAUAUCGGUUUAGUAUACGCCAUCAAUUUCAUCCCUAAUCUUACCAAGAAUCGGUAAGUUCAAUUCAAUUCAAACAGUUAGUCCCAAAUUCUCAUAGUAAUUAUAUCCAAUGUUAAUUUUUCAUCUAAACUAACGAAUCUUGUCGACUUCCCAAUAAUCUUGAUAAAUCUUGAAAACAAUCUCUAGAAAACAAUCCCUUCACACGGCCAUGUUCACCCUGAAACCCUAGAAAUACGUUUCUCACACGGCUUAAGAACAUCCACACGGCCUGCCACAUGGUCAUGUCUCCCUUGCACCUUGAUUUUCAAUUUCCACACGGCCUAGUCACACAGUCGUGUAACCCAUCCACACAGUCCAGGGCUCUCCACAUGGUCCAGUCACACGGCCAUGUGACCCCUGUUUCUCAAAUUUUACAGUUUUGCCCAAAAUUUUAUGAUUUGUGUAGAUUAGUCCUUGAAUGAGUCCCGAACUAUUUUUAGUGUUUUAUUUUAUUCAAUUGAGUCUUUGAGGAUAUGAAUUAUGGUAAAAAGCCAUGAAUUAAUGUUAUGUUUAUAUGAUUGCAUGAAUUGUGAUUAAGCAUGCCUAUUGUAUCUAUUUUUGUGGAUUGUUCAUACAACAUGACACCGUUAAAUUGAAUCCUUGAAAAGCACUUGUUUUGGCUACUGUAUCGAUUAGUUGAGAAUAUAUUUAUAGAUGCCAUUCUCGCUCUGUUAUAAGCAUGAUAUCCGUAUCUGUUUUGUUUUGUUAUAAAGCAUGUGAUAAUUUAAUGCAUGGUAUAAGACAUUUUGUAAGGAGGAAGUUCUG
Molecule: long non-coding RNA, 809 nt
Filed under: Gossypium barbadense (sea-island cotton)
Lineage: Eukaryota; Viridiplantae; Streptophyta; Magnoliopsida; Malvales; Malvaceae
Description: long non-coding RNA (GBAR_LNC021414)
Source: RNAcentral